UAAAAGAGCCGCCGCGCA
RNAcentral lists this microRNA (18 nucleotides) under Drosophila virilis. RNAcentral's name for it is "dvi-miR-9544a-3p". Lineage: Eukaryota; Metazoa; Arthropoda; Insecta; Diptera; Drosophilidae. The record is from miRBase by way of RNAcentral.